Molecule: ribosomal RNA, 601 nt
Filed under: Escherichia coli
Lineage: Bacteria; Pseudomonadati; Pseudomonadota; Gammaproteobacteria; Enterobacterales; Enterobacteriaceae
Description: bacterial SSU rRNA
Rfam family: Bacterial small subunit ribosomal RNA
Source: RNAcentral
GAGUAAUGUCUGGGAAACUGCCUGAUGGAGGGGGAUAACUACUGGAAACGGUAGCUAAUACCGCAUAACGUCGCAAGACCAAAGAGGGGGACCUUCGGGCCUCUUGCCAUCGGAUGUGCCCAGAUGGGAUUAGCUAGUAGGUGGGGUAACGGCUCACCUAGGCGACGAUCCCUAGCUGGUCUGAGAGGAUGACCAGCCACACUGGAACUGAGACACGGUCCAGACUCCUACGGGAGGCAGCAGUGGGGAAUAUUGCACAAUGGGCGCAAGCCUGAUGCAGCCAUGCCGCGUGUAUGAAGAAGGCCUUCGGGUUGUAAAGUACUUUCAGCGGGGAGGAAGGGAGUAAAGUUAAUACCUUUGCUCAUUGACGUUACCCGCAGAAGAAGCACCGGCUAACUCCGUGCCAGCAGCCGCGGUAAUACGGAGGGUGCAAGCGUUAAUCGGAAUUACUGGGCGUAAAGCGCACGCAGGCGGUUUGUUAAGUCAGAUGUGAAAUCCCCGGGCUCAACCUGGGAACUGCAUCUGAUACUGGCAAGCUUGAGUCUCGUAGAGGGGGGUAGAAUUCCAGGUGUAGCGGUGAAAUGCGUAGAGAUCUGGAGGA